GUUAGGAUGGCCGAGCGUUCUUAGGCGCUGCGUACAGUUCAGAUCUGUUGGUGUGGGUUUGAAUCCCUCUUCUGACA
Molecule: non-coding RNA, 77 nt
Organism: Trichonephila clavipes
Lineage: Eukaryota; Metazoa; Arthropoda; Arachnida; Araneae; Nephilidae
Source: the annotation of a GenBank genome assembly